This is a long non-coding RNA of Pygocentrus nattereri (red-bellied piranha), 1187 nucleotides long. The record is from Ensembl. Lineage: Eukaryota; Metazoa; Chordata; Actinopteri; Characiformes; Serrasalmidae.
GUGAGAGAGAAAAUGUCCGCGCAGGCGGAGCGGUGAUUCUGCAGGAGAGCGCGAGCUCGGGUUAAACAACUAUACAUUACUGGAAAAAGAGAGAGAGAGCGCGCGAGAGAGAGAGACGGCCUUUACCACACCUUAAACACCGCACUUUAAUCUAAACAGAAUUGGAUGCUAUUUCCACCAAAGACAUUAACAUAGAAGUAACACAGGGAAAUCUCAAGAAGCGAACGGGCAUUUGAUGGAAGGAAGAGUAUAGUACGGCUGAAGGACGAUAGGGAAGAGGGGGCUGGUGUAAAGUGCCAGAACAUAUCGAGUCCAGUUUCUGCCAGCCUCAGUCUGCCAACCCAUCAGCAGCACACUCUGCGCUAUCAGCAAUGCCAACAGGGUCCGAGCCAGCGGCCCGCCCCGACCCCCGCUCCGCUAUCACCCGCCACAUCUCCGCCAGCUCUUGCGCACGCAGCUGCUGAAGCGUGGGCGCCGGUCCACUGUCCUGCCCGCAGUCCUGGGAACUCAAGUGCAGCUUACGUCGUCCAGCGAGCCAGGAAAGCUAACAGAGCGGCUUGUCCUGCACUGCACCAAAGCCCCCCACUCAGGUCUCCCACACUUCCACUUCACUCUCUGACUUUCUGCUUAGGAGGAGUUUGGGAACAGUGGCUUUGUUUAGAAAUUCAACUUCGUUUAAGGAAAAUGUAUUUAUUUUCAACGUAUCUUAAUAUUUUCAGAGCAUCUACUUGCUAUAAAAAGCAGCUUUUAAAUAAUUAUGACAAUUUUCUCUUUCAAACUGUUGUUAAAAACUCAAUUUGAAACUCUUUUGGUCUUUUUAAAGUUGCUUUUAAACACCUGAAAGGUUUGAGUGCUGACAUCACAAGGGGGAAAUAAUGUGCCACCUACUUGGCUUUUAUUUUAGUGCACAAUUACUGUUCGUUUACCUGAGUGUAACAUAUUGAGCAUAUAAUUUCAUAUAAUUAACAUAUAAAUUCACCAUUUGUGAUGUCGCAAAAAAUUACACGUUUACCUAUAUCUGAGUAUUCAGGCUAAAGCAGUUUAGCCCUGCCUAUUUGGCUCAUGGCUUUUUAGCACCACCCAUUUGGCCCACGGACAUUUUGACAUCAGAUCCACCUUUAUAAGCAGUGUUUCAGCCUAAACUACUUUUUAGGCUCAAUAAAGGGCAGCCAGUCAGAACAGAGCUC